Molecule: small RNA, 148 nt
Filed under: Papio anubis (olive baboon)
Lineage: Eukaryota; Metazoa; Chordata; Mammalia; Primates; Cercopithecidae
Description: Metazoan signal recognition particle RNA (ENSPANG00000038964.1)
Source: Rfam by way of RNAcentral
GCCAGGUGUGGUGGCGCAUGCCUGUAAUCCCAGCUACUCAGGAGGCUGAGGCAGGAGAAUUGCUUGAGCCCAGGAGGCAGAGGCUGCAGUGAGCUGAGAUUGCACCGCUGCACUCCAGCCUGGGCAACAAAGCUAGACUCUAUUUCAA